AAAUAAGUAAGCUAAAUAAAGCUUUUAGGUUCAUACCCUAAAAAUAGAACUAUCUUAAUUAUUCUCUUAUUUA
RNAcentral lists this transfer RNA (73 nucleotides) under Stenamma diecki. RNAcentral's name for it is "tRNA-Met". Lineage: Eukaryota; Metazoa; Arthropoda; Insecta; Hymenoptera; Formicidae. The record is from RNAcentral.